This 914-nucleotide ribosomal RNA is filed under the name uncultured marine archaeon. RNAcentral's name for it is "bacterial SSU rRNA". It matches the Rfam family "Archaeal small subunit ribosomal RNA", at positions 1 to 922 of the family's 1478-position model. The record is from RNAcentral.
UUCCGGUUGAUCCCGCCGGACCUGACUGCUAUCGGAUUGAUACUAAGCCAUGCGAGUCUUUGUAGUAAUACAAGGCAUACGGCUCAGUAACGCGUAGUCAACCUACCCUAUGGACAAGAAUAAUCUCGGGAAACUGAGCAUAAUUCUUGAUAGAUCAUAAUGCCUGGAAUGGUUUAUGGUUAAAAUGAUUCGUCGCCAUAGGAUGGGACUGCGGCCUAUCAGCUUGUUGGUGAGGUAAUGGCCCACCAAGGCGAUUACAGGUACGGGCUCUGAGAGGAGAAGCCCGGAGAUGGGUACUGAGACAAGGACCCAGGCCCUAUGGGGCGCAGCAGGCGAGAAAACUUUGCAAUGUGCGAAAGCACGACAAGGUUAGUCCGAGUGAUUUCUGCUAAAGAGAUCUUUUGCUAGUUAUAAAACCACUAGUGAAUAAGGGGUGGGCAAGUUCUGGUGUCAGCCGCCGCGGUAAAACCAGCACCUCAAGUGGUCAGGAGGAUUAUUGGGCCUAAAGCAUCCGUAGCCGGCUCUGUAAGUUUUCGGUUAAAUCCAUGUGCUCAACACAUGGGCUGCCGAAAAUACUGCAUAGCUAGGGAGUGGGAGAGGUAGACGGUACUCGGUAGGAAGGGGUAAAAUCCUUUGAUCUAUCGAUGACCACCUGUGGCGAAGGCGGUCUACCAGAACACGUUCGACGGUGAGGGAUGAAAGCUGGGGGAGCAAACCGGAUUAGAUACCCGGGUAGUCCCAGCUGUAAACGAUGCAGACUCGAUGAUGCAUUGGCAUAUAGCCAGUGCAGUGUCGCAGGGAAGCCGUUAAGUCUGCCGCCUGGGAAGUACGUACGCAAGUAUGAAACUUAAAGGAAUUGGCGGGGGAGCACCACAAGGGGUGAAGCCUGCGGUUCAAUUGGAUUCAACGCCGGG